AUUGAACGCUGGCGGCAGGCUUGACACAUGCAAGUCGAGCGGGGGAAGGUAGCUUGCUACUGGACCUAGCGGCGGACGGGUGAGUAAUGCUUAGGAAUCUGCCUAUUAGUGGGGGACAACAUCUCGAAAGGGAUGCUAAUACCGCAUACGUCCUACGGGAGAAAGCAGGGGAUCUUCGGACCUUGCGCUAAUAGAUGAGCCUAAGUCGGAUUAGCUAGUUGGUGGGGUAAAGGCCUACCAAGGCGACGAUCUGUAGCGGGUCUGAGAGGAUGAUCCGCCACACUGGGACUGAGACACGGCCCAGACUCCUACGGGAGGCAGCAGUGGGGAAUAUUGGACAAUGGGGGGAACCCUGAUCCAGCCAUGCCGCGUGUGUGAAGAAGGCCUUAUGGUUGUAAAGCACUUUAAGCGAGGAGGAGGCUACCCUAGUUAAUACCUAGGGAUAGUGGACGUUACUCGCAGAAUAAGCACCGGCUAACUCUGUGCCAGCCGCCGCCGUAA
RNAcentral lists this ribosomal RNA (501 nucleotides) under uncultured bacterium. Its description in RNAcentral is "partial 16S ribosomal RNA". It matches the Rfam family "Bacterial small subunit ribosomal RNA", at positions 30 to 523 of the family's 1533-position model. The record is from RNAcentral.